RNAcentral lists this ribosomal RNA (253 nucleotides) under uncultured bacterium. RNAcentral's name for it is "partial 16S ribosomal RNA". It matches the Rfam family "Bacterial small subunit ribosomal RNA", at positions 524 to 776 of the family's 1533-position model. The record is from RNAcentral.
UACGGACGGGGCAAGCGUUGUUCGGAAUCAUUGGGCGUAAAGGGCGCGUAGGUGGUUCUGUAUGUCUACCGUGAAAGCGUACGGCUCAACUGUAUUUUGUCGGUAGAAACUGCAGGACUUGAGGCUGGGAGGGGCUGGUGGAAUUCCCUGUGUAGCGGUGAAAUGCGUAGAGAUGGGGGAGAACACUCGUGGCGAAGGCGGCCAGCUAGACCAGUUCUGACACUGAGGCGCGACAGCGUGGGGAGCAAACAGG